AUGAACGCUGGCGGCGUGCCUCAUACAUGCCAGUCGCGCGAACAGACGAGGAGCUUGCUCCUCUGACGUUAGCGGCGGACGGGUGAGUAACACGUGGAUAACCUACCUAUAAGACUGGGAUAACUUCGGGAAACCGGAGCUAAUACCGGAUAAUAUAUUGAACCGCAUGGUUCAAUAGUGAAAGACGGUUUUGCUGUCACUUAUAGAUGGAUCCGCGCCGCAUUAGCUAGUUGGUAAGGUAACGGCUUACCAAGGCAACGAUGCGUAGCCGACCUGAGAGGGUGAUCGGCCACACUGGAACUGAGACACGGUCCAGACUCCUACGGGAGGCAGCAGUAGGGAAUCUUCCGCAAUGGGAGAAAGCCUGACGGAGCAACGCCGCGUGAGUGAUGAAGGUCUUCGGAUCGUAAAACUCUGUUAUUAGGGAAGAACAAAUGUGUAAGUAACUAUGCACGUCCUGACGGUACCUAAUCAGAAAGCCACGGCUAACUACGUG
This 496-nucleotide ribosomal RNA is filed under the name uncultured bacterium. Its description in RNAcentral is "partial 16S ribosomal RNA". It matches the Rfam family "Bacterial small subunit ribosomal RNA", at positions 29 to 507 of the family's 1533-position model. The record is from RNAcentral.